Molecule: ribosomal RNA, 513 nt
Filed under: uncultured bacterium
Lineage: Bacteria
Description: partial 16S ribosomal RNA
Rfam family: Bacterial small subunit ribosomal RNA
Source: RNAcentral
GAUGAACGCUGGCGGCGUGCCUAAUACAUGCAAGUCGAGCGAACAGACGAGGAGCUUGCUCCUCUGACGUUAGCGGCGGACGGGUGAGUAACACGUGGAUAACCUACCUAUAAGACUGGGAUAACUUCGGGAAACCGGAGCUAAUACCGGAUAGUAUAUUGAACCGCAUGGUUCAAUAGUGAAAGACGGUUUUGCUGUCACUUAUAGAUGGAUCCGCGCCGCAUUAGCUAGUUGGUAAGGUAACGGCUUACCAAGGCAACGAUGCGUAGCCGACCUGGGAGGGUGAUCGGCCACACUGGAACUGAGACACGGUCCAGACUCCUACGGGAGGCAGCAGUAGGGAAUCUUCCGCAAUGGGCGAAAGCCUGACGGAGCAACGCCGCGUGAGUGAUGAAGGUCUUCGGAUCGUAAAACUCUGUUAUUAGGGAAGAACAAAUGUGUAAGUAACUAAGCACGUCUUGACGGUACCUAAUCAGAAAGCCACGGCUAACUACGUGCCAGCAGCCGCGGUAA